This 210-nucleotide long non-coding RNA is filed under the name Ricinus communis (castor bean). RNAcentral describes it as "long non-coding RNA (RCOM_LNC003128)". The record is from RNAcentral. Lineage: Eukaryota; Viridiplantae; Streptophyta; Magnoliopsida; Malpighiales; Euphorbiaceae.
AGUGCUCUAGGUCAAUCCAUGCACCAACUAGCACACGAUGGUCUUCCAACAGCUUAAUCUGCUCGUCUCUCUCAUGAACUGAUGUGCCAGCUACAAGAUAGUAUCUUCAAGCUAUCAAAAACAGUGCUUCUUAAUCACACCAGUAGCAGCUGUGGAGAUCGCCCCCAAUCCAGGGCCUCCUACCCUACUCUAAUGGUUUCUAGAUUGACA